UUAUCCUACGGGACGCAGCAGUGGGGAAUAUUGCACAAUGGGGGAAACCCUGAUGCAGCGACGCCGCGUGAGCGAAGAAGUAUUUCGGUAUGUAAAGCUCUAUCAGCAGGGAAGAAAAUGACGGUACCUGACUAAGAAGCCCCGGCUAAAUACGUGCCAGCAGCCGCGGUAAUACGUAGGGGGCAAGCGUUAUCCGGAUUUACUGGGUGUAAAGGGAGCGUAGACGGCUGUGCAAGUCUGAAGUGAAAUGCCGGGGCUCAACCCCGGAACUGCUUUGGAAACUGUACAGCUAGAGUGCAGGAGGG
This 305-nucleotide ribosomal RNA is filed under the name uncultured bacterium. Its description in RNAcentral is "bacterial SSU rRNA". It matches the Rfam family "Bacterial small subunit ribosomal RNA", at positions 334 to 656 of the family's 1533-position model. The record is from RNAcentral.